GGCGGGGGAUAACCACUGGAAACGGUGGCUAAUACCGCAUAAUCUCUAAGGAGCAAAGUGGGGGACCGUUCAGGCCUCACACCUUCGGAUGAACCCAUAUGAGAUUAGCUAGUAGGUGGGGUAAUGGCUCACCUAGGCGACGAUCUCUAGCUGGUCUGAGAGGAUGAUCAGCCACACUGGGACUGAGACACGGCCCAGACUCCUACGGGAGGCAGCAGUGGGGAAUAUUGCACAAUGGGCGCAAGCCUGAUGCAGCCAUGCCGCGUGUAUGAAGAAGGCCUUCGGGUUGUAAAGUACUUUCAGUCGUGAGGAAGGUGUUAAGGUUAAUAACCUUAGCAAUUGACGUUAGCGACAGAAGAAGCACCGGCUAACUCCGUGCCAGCAGCCGCGGUAAUACGGAGGGUGCGAGCGUUAAUCGGAAUUACUGGGCGUAAAGGGCACGCAGGCGGUUAAUUAAGUUGGAUGUGAAAUCCCCGGGCUUAACCUGGGAAUGGCAUUCAAGACUGGUUAACUAGAGUCUUGUAGAGGGGGGUAGAAUUCCAUGUGUAGCGGUGAAAUGCGUAGAGAUGUGGAGGAAUACCGGUGGCGAAGGCGGCCCCCUGGACAAAGACUGACGCUCAUGUGCGAAAGCGUGGGGAGCAAACAGGAUUAGAUACCCUGGUAGUCCACGCUGUAAACGAUGUCGAUUUGGAGGUUGUGGUCAUGAACUGUGGCCUCCGGAGCUAACGCGUUAAAUCGACCGCCUGGGGAGUACGGCCGCAAGGUUAAAACUCAAAUGAAUUGACGGGGCCCGCA
This 795-nucleotide ribosomal RNA is filed under the name Arsenophonus endosymbiont of Hyalopterus amygdali. RNAcentral's name for it is "bacterial SSU rRNA". It matches the Rfam family "Bacterial small subunit ribosomal RNA", at positions 135 to 925 of the family's 1533-position model. The record is from RNAcentral. Lineage: Bacteria; Pseudomonadati; Pseudomonadota; Gammaproteobacteria; Enterobacterales; Morganellaceae.